This 1187-nucleotide long non-coding RNA is filed under the name Elaeis guineensis (African oil palm). Its description in RNAcentral is "long non-coding RNA (EGUI_LNC081660)". Lineage: Eukaryota; Viridiplantae; Streptophyta; Magnoliopsida; Arecales; Arecaceae. The record is from RNAcentral.
UCCCCCUUUUUGACAUCAUCAAACAUUGUCAGCUCCCCCUCUUUCUCUGAAUACGUUUUCUCUUUAGUGUUUCUUCAAACUUAUUGUGCUAAUCAUUAAUGUUUGCUCCCCCUGAAUACAGCAAUCAUUAACCAAAAUAUGCCAUAGAUUACCAUAGAUAUGAAUUAUCAACAAAGAGAAGAUAUAUAAUCAAGAGAUGAUUGACAGCAUAACAAAGAGUAGAUAUAUAAUUUAAAACCAUAGUUGUUUCAAUACAUAUUUCAUAACAUAAAAGUCAGCUAGCUAAUGUCAUUACAUGGCCCAAAAUACAGAUCCUAGAAAGAGCAAGAGACUAACACCUAGGAUCUAGUAAAGCUCAUGACUAGAUGGAUCGGAGUCAUCAGAGAUAGGGUGAGGAGAUGAUGGAUCUCGACCAAGGGUACGUCCUCUACCCCGUCUGCCUCUGCCAUGAGUGGAGGUGCUGGCACGAGCAGGUGAGCGAGAUGAACUAGGAGGCUGAGAACGUUGAGAGGCCAAAGACUAGACUGAAAGAGUGAGUCUAAUGGAAUCAAGAACGUUCAGUGCUCUCGAAACAGACUGAAGCAGAGCAGUGAAUUGAGUAGAUGCAUGCUCACUCGAGCCUCUGAUAUCUCUCCUCAAUAACUCAUAACCACCCUCCAAUGCACCUCUGAGCCUGCCAGCCUCUGCAGUAAGGUCUGUGACCUCAAUAGUGCUCUCCUGUGGCUGAGGAUGGGCCAAAGCUAAGACUUGCCCCUGCAAGUCAAGAACUCUCCCAGUCAGUCUCAAAAUACUGUCCUCGAACUGCUGAAUCCGAAUAGACUGAUCUGAGAUCAACUGAAAUACAGUGGAGAUAUGGAGGAUCAAGGUCUGAUCAGAUGAAUCUAAUGAAGUGGAUCCCGGUGCAAAUGUAGAAGUGCUCCACUGCCGAGAAAGCAAGGAAGCCACACGCUGAGAAAUCUGCUCAAUCUGAUCAUCAGCCAAUCUGAACUCUGAAGGUGGUGCUCUGCUCUCUGGCUGCUGUACUGGUGUGUACCUCCUAGUGAACUCUGAAGGGCCAGUCUCUGGAUCUGAAACAAACUGGAUGUCUGGAGAUGCUGCCCUGAAAUCAUGGAGAGGAGAUGAGGGACCUUCUUCUUCAGCUCUGUCCUCUACUCUGUCCUCAGCUCUCUCCUCAGAACCCUUGAUCC